Non-coding RNA from Xylariaceae sp. FL0594, 108 nucleotides. NCBI's taxonomy places the organism in Eukaryota, Fungi, Ascomycota, Sordariomycetes, Xylariales, Xylariaceae. The record is from the annotation of a GenBank genome assembly.
GCCCGCUUGGCUCACCGGUAGAGCGCCUCACUAGUAUCUGUACCAUCUUAAAACAUGGACAGGCACCAAGUGAUGAGGAGGCAACUGGUUCGACUCCAGUAGUGGGCA